This 1749-nucleotide ribosomal RNA is filed under the name Staphylococcus aureus. RNAcentral describes it as "partial 23S ribosomal RNA". It matches the Rfam family "Bacterial large subunit ribosomal RNA", at positions 1 to 1748 of the family's 2925-position model. Lineage: Bacteria; Bacillati; Bacillota; Bacilli; Caryophanales; Staphylococcaceae. The record is from RNAcentral.
GAUUAAGUUAUUAAGGGCGCACGGUGGAUGCCUUGGCACUAGAAGCCGAUGAAGGACGUUACUAACGACGAUAUGCUUUGGGGAGCUGUAAGUAAGCUUUGAUCCAGAGAUUUCCGAAUGGGGAAACCCAGCAUGAGUUAUGUCAUGUUAUCGAUAUGUGAAUACAUAGCAUAUCAGAAGGCACACCCGGAGAACUGAAACAUCUUAGUACCCGGAGGAAGAGAAAGAAAAUUCGAUUCCCUUAGUAGCGGCGAGCGAAACGGGAAGAGCCCAAACCAACAAGCUUGCUUGUUGGGGUUGUAGGACACUCUAUACGGAGUUACAAAGGACGACAUUAGACGAAUCAUCUGGAAAGAUGAAUCAAAGAAGGUAAUAAUCCUGUAGUCGAAAAUGUUGUCUCUCUUGAGUGGAUCCUGAGUACGACGGAGCACGUGAAAUUCCGUCGGAAUCUGGGAGGACCAUCUCCUAAGGCUAAAUACUCUCUAGUGACCGAUAGUGAACCAGUACCGUGAGGGAAAGGUGAAAAGCACCCCGGAAGGGGAGUGAAAUAGAACCUGAAACCGUGUGCUUACAAGUAGUCAGAGCCCGUUAAUGGGUGAUGGCGUGCCUUUUGUAGAAUGAACCGGCGAGUUACGAUUUGAUGCAAGGUUAAGCAGUAAAUGUGGAGCCGUAGCGAAAGCGAGUCUGAAUAGGGCGUUUAGUAUUUGGUCGUAGACCCGAAACCAGGUGAUCUACCCUUGGUCAGGUUGAAGUUCAGGUAACACUGAAUGGAGGACCGAACCGACUUACGUUGAAAAGUGAGCGGAUGAACUGAGGGUAGCGGAGAAAUUCCAAUCGAACCUGGAGAUAGCUGGUUCUCUCCGAAAUAGCUUUAGGGCUAGCCUCAAGUGAUGAUUAUUGGAGGUAGAGCACUGUUUGGACGAGGGGCCCCUCUCGGGUUACCGAAUUCAGACAAACUCCGAAUGCCAAUUAAUUUAACUUGGGAGUCAGAACAUGGGUGAUAAGGUCCGUGUUCGAAAGGGAAACAGCCCAGACCACCAGCUAAGGUCCCAAAAUAUAUGUUAAGUGGAAAAGGAUGUGGCGUUGCCCAGACAACUAGGAUGUUGGCUUAGAAGCAGCCAUCAUUUAAAGAGUGCGUAAUAGCUCACUAGUCGAGUGACACUGCGCCGAAAAUGUACCGGGGCUAAACAUAUUACCGAAGCUGUGGAUUGUCCUUUGGACAAUGGUAGGAGAGCGUUCUAAGGGCGUUGAAGCAUGAUCGUAAGGACAUGUGGAGCGCUUAGAAGUGAGAAUGCCGGUGUGAGUAGCGAAAGACGGGUGAGAAUCCCGUCCACCGAUUGACUAAGGUUUCCAGAGGAAGGCUCGUCCGCUCUGGGUUAGUCGGGUCCUAAGCUGAGGCCGACAGGCGUAGGCGAUGGAUAACAGGUUGAUAUUCCUGUACCACCUAUAAUCGUUUUAAUCGAUGGGGGGACGCAGUAGGAUAGGCGAAGCGUGCGAUUGGAUUGCACGUCUAAGCAGUAAGGCUGAGUAUUAGGCAAAUCCGGUACUCGUUAAGGCUGAGCUGUGAUGGGGAGAAGACAUUGAGUCUUCGAGUCGUUGAUUUCACACUGCCGAGAAAAGCCUCUAGAUAGAAAAUAGGUGCCCGUACCGCAAACCGACACAGGUAGUCAAGAUGAGAAUUCUAAGGUGAGCGAGCGAACUCUCGUUAAGGAACUCGGCAAAAUGACCCCGUAACUUCGGGAGAAGGGG